GCGAGAGAUCGAUCUACUCUUAAUGCCCUUUCUCCUCUCAUAUCUUCCCCAUGCCUCUCUAGAAAAAUAACUUCCCUGCUCUCAUCGGAUUUGAUUCUGAUUUUUCAUCCGAUCCGCUAUAGAUUUCCCUGGCAAAACAUGCAGAUCUGCCUCCUGAUGCCUGCCUCCUCCCAUUAUUCCCCCUCCAUCGAUGUAUACCUAUUGGCGUAUUGCGGCAAGCCGUUCCUGCGCACGCGACCGGCGGCGGCGGCAAGCCGUUCCUGCGCAUGUGACCAAAUCGAGAAGGCCAGAAGGGGCGGAGGUGCGGGCAGCUCCUUUGCACGCGCGCUGCAUGGGGCAAGCGUGCUGCAAGCAUCGGUCAAUCGGUGGCCAGCAGGACUACAGUACAGCAGCUUCUGCGGCGUGACGGCAUCCGGAGCAUAGCAGGACAGCAGCAUCUGUUAUUUCGCCUCGCUUCUUUAGUUUUCAUUAUGCCUCCUGAUUUACCCAAUCCAAUCUCCAAUUAUUUGUCCGGUUGUGCUGAAUUUUGGUUGUCUUACUUGAUUUUUAUGCAUAAUAAUUUUGCAGACCUAGAAAAUGGAGGGGCUAAGGCAUUGAAAUCAUUUUUAUUCUCCUGUGCUGUGUCUAUUUUACACCCAAAGUCACGGAACCAACCCUGUCCAUUAGGCAGUAGGUGUAGAAGAACCCCUUAAUGCAAUCGGUACUUUGUAUUUUCAAUUAUAAUUUUUAACAAUUAAUUAUAUUUUGCACAUCCUUUAUUUCUUUGAAAUAAAUAGCUUCAGAUUUACAUGACCUGGCAUGGACUUUCUAGGCUUUUUUAGGAAGUGGGGCCGUAGGCGUGAAGAUUCAUCAGCUCCUCCAUUGCAUGUCUUCGCAGUCCGUUCAGAACAACAGGAUGAGAAAGUAAGGUUUCACUUCAUAGCUGCCCAACGGCAUAUUUGGAUUUGUAGGUAUCAACUAAUCCCCUGAGGUUAGGGUUCAAAUUUCUAUCGCAUUUUCACAUGGUUUGCCUUAUCUUAUCUAUAUAUUUGUUUCUGACCGAAAAGGCUGGCUACUUUUUUGUCAGGCAACUGAAUCCUGUGAUUUACGCUUGCUUCCUGUAGCAAUGACAAAUAGUUUUAUUUUCUUAGAUGAUAUAGGCUCAGAAGUUAUUGUCCCCCAUCUGUAGUCUCGUGGGUUACCAAUUGCAUAUUUAUUCUCAGACAUCAGGGUCGGUUGGGGAGUUCAUAAACAUUCUUGAUUAUGAAAAGAUUUGUUCGUACUACCAUCUGGAAAUAUAGAAUUUUAACAUCAUUUACAGUUAUUACGUAUGUCCUGCAGUCAGGAACCAGGGUGCAGAACUGCAGAUGCAUUGUUGAAAGGGUGCAUGAUUGAAAAGAAUUUGAAAUGUUAGACUCAAGCAUAUCGGUUCCCUCUGCUUCAUAUAUUCGAGUCUUUUCUUCUAUGUUUCAGCACAUGGUAAAUCCUGCCCUUUGUUGAGAAGCCAGUGGCUACUACUAGGAUGGAUCGAAGGUAGCUGCCCUGGGACAAUUUGAGCCAACAUGAAUCAGACGGACCAGCAUUGAAUCAGGAUGUAGAAGGAUGACACGAUAAUUGUUUGUGGUGAGGCCUUUGAUGGAUGAUCUUCAAGCACCAUACUGCUAAAAUGCUUUCACAGGACAAUUCGUGAAGCAUUUUUUUCUCUGCUAGGAUUAGCCUUAGCCAGUUGCUUUUAGCUUAUUUCUUGUAUCGUACUGGUUCAUUUUUUCUUGGAUGCAAAUAAGCAUCUUGAAGUGUUGAAGUUUGCAUAAAUGAUAAAAGUUUGCUAUCACAAUUUAUUUGUUUCCCGCUA
This is a long non-coding RNA of Panicum virgatum (switchgrass), 1831 nucleotides long. RefSeq lists it as uncharacterized. The record is from RefSeq and is a predicted model, not a curated record. The transcript has 3 exons. NCBI's taxonomy places the organism in Eukaryota, Viridiplantae, Streptophyta, Magnoliopsida, Poales, Poaceae.